UCUCCUGGAAACGGGUGGUAAUGCCGGAUGCUCCAUCACACUGCAUGGUGUGUUGGGAAAGCCUUUGCGGCAUGGGAUGGGGUCGCGUCCUAUCAGCUUGAUGGCGGGGUAACGGCCCACCAUGGCUUCGACGGGUAGCCGGCCUGAGAGGGCGACCGGCCACAUUGGGACUGAGAUACGGCCCAGACUCCUACGGGAGGCAGCAGUGGGGAAUAUUGCACAAUGGGCGCAAGCCUGAUGCAGCGACGCCGCGUGAGGGAUGGAGGCCUUCGGGUUGUAAACCUCUUUUGUUAGGGAGCAAGGCAUUUUGUGUUGAGUGUACCUUUCGAAUAAGCACCGGCUAACUACGUGCCAGCAGCCGCGGUAAUACGUAGGGUGCAAGCGUUAUCCGGAAUUAUUGGGCGUAAAGGGCUCGUAGGCGGUUCGUCGCGUCCGGUGUGAAAGUCCAUCGCUUAACGGUGGAUCCGCGCCGGGUACGGGCGGGCUUGAGUGCGGUAGGGGAGACUGGAAUUCCCGGUGUAACGGUGGAAUGUGUAGAUAUCGG
Molecule: ribosomal RNA, 544 nt
Filed under: Bifidobacterium breve
Lineage: Bacteria; Bacillati; Actinomycetota; Actinomycetes; Bifidobacteriales; Bifidobacteriaceae
Description: bacterial SSU rRNA
Rfam family: Bacterial small subunit ribosomal RNA
Source: RNAcentral